AACGAACGCUGGCGGCAUGCUUAAUACAUGCAAGUCGAACGAGAAAGUACCUUCGGGUGCGAGUAUAGUGGCGCACGGGUGAGUAACACGUAGGUGACCUGCCUUUUAGUUUGGGAUAACCAGUGGAAACGCUGGCUAAUACCGGGUAUUCAUUGCUUUUUGAAGAUAGCAUUGCAAAGGGGGCUUCGGCUCUCGCUAGAAGAUGGGCCUGCGGGGCAUUAGCUUGUUGGUGGGGUAAUGGCCUACCAAGGCGAUGAUGUCUAGCUGGUCUGAGAGGAUGAUCAGCCACACUGGAACUGAGACACGGUCCAG
RNAcentral lists this ribosomal RNA (312 nucleotides) under uncultured bacterium. RNAcentral's name for it is "bacterial SSU rRNA". It matches the Rfam family "Bacterial small subunit ribosomal RNA", at positions 29 to 334 of the family's 1533-position model. The record is from RNAcentral.